GGAAUAAAUAAAAAUAAUUAAGAAAGAAGAAAGAGCAGCCUAUUUGUACAUACGCGAUUUAUAAUUCCAACAUCACUGAAAAAAUAUUCAAAACAAACAAAUCAACUCCAACACUAAAAAUAAUCAACAAUAAUGAACGAAUCAAAGAUGGUCGAAGUUUGAACUGUUCCGGCCAGAUCUGAAAAAGAGAAAUGAAGUGAAAGAGGAAUUGUUUAUUUACCGGAGUUGUAGCUCGAUCUGAUCGGAGCUCACUAGUAACAACGAUGGAGCUCGUGGUCUGAGCGUUAGUUGGAUUUCAAGCUGGUAAACUUGCUUUCCAGAGAUGGCGUCUCAGAUGGGUUGCUACGG
Molecule: long non-coding RNA, 348 nt
Filed under: Solanum tuberosum (potato)
Lineage: Eukaryota; Viridiplantae; Streptophyta; Magnoliopsida; Solanales; Solanaceae
Description: long non-coding RNA (STUB_LNC007981)
Source: RNAcentral